UAGGAGCCAGGGGGGCUGCACAUGUCGUCAGCUCUGGUUUGCAUUAUGCAGGUCUGACUGCAGGGAGUUUGAUUAAUGGUUGGAGUCAGAGGGGACAGACACAGGAGCUCAGAGGGAGUUGCACACAACAGCAUCCUGCACACAGCACCACAAUACAGCACUACGUUGUGGUGCAUCUCGUGAGAGUGAAAGAGUCGGGAGGGUCUCCAGUGGUGAUCUUUCAGUGAUGGUGGAGGGGAAGAGCUCGGCGCGUGAGGAUUUAUUGUGUGGAGAAUGUGUUCUGCUGACGACGACAUGACAAGAUGUUCCCGGCUUUAUCGCACCAGUUGCACACUUCUUCCCUUUGUGUUUUGCCAGCUGCCUGCGCUGCUGCAUUCUAGAGUGCCAGGGGUGAAGCGGGGAGCAGAGGCAGGAAGAAGAGGGGACGGGCAGGAGAGAGGGCCAUCCCACACUCCAGACGACAACAUCAGAAUGGAUGCAGCACAAGCGCUGAUGGGGACACACCACAACUGUCUUAAUGAAGCUGUUAAAAACCAACAGACUGCUUGGAUGGAUUUGGCAGCUCUGUGAUCCUGUAAACCUGCAACAAACACUCUCUUUAAUCUAUCUUCCCAG
RNAcentral lists this long non-coding RNA (615 nucleotides) under Sinocyclocheilus anshuiensis. Its description in RNAcentral is "lncRNA (ENSSANG00000014776.1)". Lineage: Eukaryota; Metazoa; Chordata; Actinopteri; Cypriniformes; Cyprinidae. The record is from RNAcentral.